CACACACACACGGAGCAGCUCAACCACCAGCAGCAGUGGGCGAUGACUGCUUCAGAGGUACAGCAGUGGGCCUCACACACACACACACACACACACACACACACACACACACACACACACACACACACACACACACACACACAGGGAGCAGCUCAACCACCAGCAGCAGUGGGCGAUGACUGCUUCAGAGGUACAGCAGUGGGCCUCACACACACACACACACACACACACACACACACACACACACACACACACACACACACACACACACACACACACACACACGGAGCAGCUCCACCACCAGCAGCAGUGGGUGAUGACUGCUUCAGAGGUACAGCAGUGGGCCUCACACACACACACAUACAAGUAUCUGUGUCUGUGUUCAUUGUCUCUGUAAUUGCCAUCAUCAGAUCUACACAAAUAA
This is a long non-coding RNA of Clupea harengus (Atlantic herring), 424 nucleotides long. Lineage: Eukaryota; Metazoa; Chordata; Actinopteri; Clupeiformes; Clupeidae. The record is from Ensembl.